Molecule: ribosomal RNA, 254 nt
Filed under: uncultured bacterium
Lineage: Bacteria
Description: partial 16S ribosomal RNA
Rfam family: Bacterial small subunit ribosomal RNA
Source: RNAcentral
UACGAAGGGGGCUAGCGUUGUUCGGAAUUACUGGGCGUAAAGCGCGCGCAGGCGGUCUUCCAAGUCAGUGGUGAAAGCCCGGAGCUCAACUCCGGAACUGCCAUUGAAACUGUUAGACUUGAGGACGAGAGAGGUGAGUGGAAUUCCCAGUGUAGAGGUGAAAUUCGUAGAUAUUGGGAAGAACACCGGUGGCGAAGGGCGGGUCUCUGGGCAGUAACUGACGCUGAGGAGCGAAAGCGUGGGGAGCGAACAGG